Molecule: long non-coding RNA, 985 nt
Filed under: Homo sapiens (human)
Lineage: Eukaryota; Metazoa; Chordata; Mammalia; Primates; Hominidae
Description: HSALNT0254097
Source: RNAcentral
GGGCAGUUACUCGGUGUCUGAGUCUCCCUUCUUCAGCCCCAUCCACCUACACUCAAACGUGGCGUGGACAGUGGAAGAUCCAGUGGACAGUGCUCCUCCCGGGCAGAGAAAGAAGGAGCAAUGGGUGAUACGCUGGCAUCAACCCCUCGGACGGUAUCAACUCAGAGGUCCUGGAAGCCAUACGGGUGACCCGUCACAAGAACGCCAUGGCAGAGCGCUGGGAAUCCCGCAUCUACGCCAGUGAGGAGGAUGACUGAGCCUCGGGAUGGGGCGCCCACCCCCUGCCCUGCCCUGACCCUCGUGGGAACUGCCAAGACCAUCGCCAAGCCCCCACCCUAGGAAAUGGGUCCUAGGUCCAGGAUCCAAGAACCACAGCUCAUCUGCCAACAAUCCCACCAUGGGCACAUUUGGGACUGUUGGGUUUUUCGUUUCCGUUUCUAUCUUCCUUUAGAAAUGUUUCUGCCUUUGGGGUCUAAAGCUUUUGGGGAUGAAAUGGGACCCCUGCUGAUUCUUUCUGCUUCUAAGACUUUGCCAAAUGCCCUGGGUCUAAGAAAGAAAGAGACCCGCUCCUCCACUUUCAGGUGUAAUUUGCUUCCGCUAGUCUGAGGGCAGAGGGACCGGUCAAAGAGGGUGGCACAGAUCGCAGCACCUUGAGGGGCUGCGGGUCUGAGGGAGGAGACACUCAGCUCCUCCCUCUGAGAAGUCCCAAGCUGAGAGGGGAGACCUGCCCCUUUCCAACCCUGGGAAACCAUCCAGUCUGAGGGAGGAGGCCAAACUCCCAGUGCUGGGGGUCCCUGUGCAGCCCUCAAACCCUUCACCUUGGUGCACCCAGCCACACCUGGUGGACACAAAGCUCUCACAUCGAUAGGAUCCCAUGAGGAUGGUCCCCUUCACCUGGGAGAAAAGUGACCCAGUUUAGGAGCUGGAGGGGGGUCUUUGUCCCCCACCCCCAAACUGCCCUGAAAUAAACCUGGAGUGAGCUGCC